Long non-coding RNA from Zingiber officinale, 1777 nucleotides. RefSeq lists it as uncharacterized. The record is from RefSeq and is a predicted model, not a curated record. Lineage: Eukaryota; Viridiplantae; Streptophyta; Magnoliopsida; Zingiberales; Zingiberaceae. The transcript is spliced from 2 exons.
AAAAAUCUUUAGGAAAAUGCAUGAAAAGUACAUUUGAUUGUUUAGUAAAUGAUAAUUGUUUAGAAAAAGCAGUACCACAGCUCGGAGUUUCUCGUUUUCCUCUGUAGUUGCUUCAACUCAGAGCCGAGGAGGGAGUGGAGCCGAGCUGAGAGGGUUGCGGGCACUCGAAGGGUUCGUCUCCCGACUAUUGAUGCACCCGACAAUGGAGAAGAAGAGACGAGAUGGAGAGAAAAUUAGAGUACAGGAGCUGCGGCUUUGUGACCGGCGAACAACAAGUUCUAUGGCCGUUGUUCUUGGGCGGCAGCACUCUACUGGCGGAGCUUCACCUUGGCUGGAGCACGGCCUGAGUUCAGCAGCCAACAGUUGGAACAGCAACAUCCGGCAAACAGCAACUCCUUCCAGCCAACAGUGGAAGGAAACAAUCAGCUUGCCAUAAUUCGCCGGGAGCUGCCCGCACAGGUAUAUUCGUUUUUCAUUGUGUCUUCUAAUUAUUCAUAGUCUCUUCUUGGUGCGAUUGCUUGCAACAUUUAGGUCUUGUUUUUCUUUUGUUAGUUUCUUUGCAUUUAGUGAAUCAUAGCGACUAGAGAUAAAAGUGACGAGACGUGUAAAUUGUUAAAAUAAGACUUGAAUCAAUGGUGGCUUCCACUAGGUUAAAGUCCAUUGAGUAAAUAUUAAGAAAUUCAACAUUUAAAAAAAACAUGAGCAGAGAGAGGUCUCACCCAUUGAAAAUCAUAGAUGUCGUCCUUACGAAACAUCAUGAAAUCGUCCGUCGUCCCACUGAAAUAUCAUGAUAUCGUCCCAUCCAUUGAAAAUCACAGGCGUCGAUCCUUUCCACUGAAUUCAUACAAAGGAAAAAAGACUCUUCCUGUAUAUUUUUUCUCUGUCCAAAAAGGCUUUCCAGUGAAGUCGUGGGCAUCCCACUGAAGUCGUUGCUAUGAAUUCACUCAAAGGAUAUCUAACCUACUCCCGCUAAAGAUAGGUUAGAUAUUUUUGCUCUUUGUAGAAACAGAUUCCUGUUUCUUGAUCUUUGUAGAAACAGAUUCCUGUUUCUUGAUAGGUUAGAUAUUUUUGCUCUUGUAGAAAUAGACUCUCCGCUUUCGAAGACUUUCCAAAUCAAGAAACAAGAGUUUGUUUCUACAAGGAGCAAAAAUAUCUAACCUAUCUUCACUAGGGAGUAGGUUAGAUAUCCUUUGAGUGAAUCCAUAGCGACGACUUCAGCGGGAUGCCUGCGACUUCACUGGAAAGCCUUCGGACGGAGAAAAAAAAUAUAUAGGGGGGGUCUUUUCCUUUGUGUGAAUUUAGUGGGAAGGACCGACGCAUGUGAUUUUUAGUGGGUGGGAUGAUAUCAUGAUGUUUCAAUGGGAUGACCGGACGACUUCAUGAUGUUUCAGGGGGACGACACCUGCGAUUUUCAAUGGGUGAAACCCCUUUGCUCAUUUUUUUUUUAAUGUUGGAUUUUUUGACAUUUACUCAAUGGACUUUAACCUAAUGGAAGCCAGCAUUCGUCCUUCCCUACGCAUCCAACUCUUGUUUUAACAAUUUACACAUCUCGUCACUCUUAAGCAAGCCAUCAUACCAGAGAUUAUGAAUAAUUAGAAGACAAUGAAAAACGAAUAACAGGACUGCCAAAUCCCUUGCCUCCGAUCGUAUGUGCUCCAGAUAAUGCAACUAGUUCUCGUGGCCAACAACCUUGCAUAUUUAUUUCAGCAAAAUAUAAACAUUUUCAUAUUUAUGAUUCAAGGAUGAGAAUAAUGAAUUUUGCAUCUAAGCAUAACAA